RNAcentral lists this ribosomal RNA (253 nucleotides) under uncultured bacterium. RNAcentral's name for it is "partial 16S ribosomal RNA". It matches the Rfam family "Bacterial small subunit ribosomal RNA", at positions 524 to 776 of the family's 1533-position model. The record is from RNAcentral. RNAcentral also lists the same sequence under 2 other names.
UACGAAGGGUGCAAGCGUUAAUCGGAAUUACUGGGCGUAAAGCGCGCGUAGGUGGUUUGGUAAGAUGGAUGUGAAAUCCCCGGGCUCAACCUGGGAACUGCAUCCAUAACUGCCUGACUAGAGUACGGUAGAGGGUGGUGGAAUUUCCUGUGUAGCGGUGAAAUGCGUAGAUAUAGGAAGGAACACCAGUGGCGAAGGCGACCACCUGGACUGAUACUGACACUGAGGUGCGAAAGCGUGGGGAGCAAACAGG